GAAGUGCGAUAAGCAAUGCGAAUUGCAGAACCGUGAGUCAUCAGAUUUUUGAACGCAACUGGCGCCGGCUGGCUCUCCAGUCGGCAUGCUUGUUUCAGUGUCUUUUUAUCUCAUCACCCAAAUCUUAAUGCGAGAGAUACCCUUCUCUUGUCAAGCAUGAAAGCACUCUGCGCUCUGCGAGCGAUUUCGACUUGUUCGAGGUCGCACUCAAUGCAGCGGUCACAUUGUUUACAGUGUGAACUCAUUGAGAGUAGAGGCAGUGCAGCCUUACAGCUGCCAGUGCUUAGACACCCAAACUUUCUUUGUAUCUGAAAUCAAGCAGGAUCACCCGCUGAACUUAA
Molecule: unclassified non-coding RNA, 341 nt
Filed under: uncultured fungus
Lineage: Eukaryota; Fungi
Description: sequence contains ITS1
Rfam family: 5.8S ribosomal RNA (bases 1-103)
Source: RNAcentral